This 253-nucleotide ribosomal RNA is filed under the name uncultured bacterium. Its description in RNAcentral is "partial 16S ribosomal RNA". It matches the Rfam family "Bacterial small subunit ribosomal RNA", at positions 524 to 776 of the family's 1533-position model. The record is from RNAcentral.
UACGAAGGGGGCUAGCGUUGCUCGGAAUCACUGGGCGUAAAGGGUGCGUAGGCGGGGCUUUAAGUCAGAGGUGAAAUCCUGGAGCUCAACUCCAGAACUGCCUUUGAUACUGAGGAUCUUGAGUUCGGGAGAGGUGAGUGGAACUGCGAGUGUCGAGGUGAAAUUCGUAGAUAUUCGCAAGAACACCAGUGGCGAAGGCGGCUCACUGGCCCGAUACUGACGCUGAGGCACGAAAGCGUGGGGAGCAAACAGG